Molecule: long non-coding RNA, 3055 nt
Organism: Gasterosteus aculeatus aculeatus (three-spined stickleback)
Lineage: Eukaryota; Metazoa; Chordata; Actinopteri; Perciformes; Gasterosteidae
Source: Ensembl
CUUUAAUAGUCAAAGGUCAAAAAUCCAAAAGGCCAAGGGGCAAAAACACACAGGCAUGCAACUACAGAUAGCCACAACAAGGGACACGGACAUGCGUGACGAAAGACAGUGACGCGACAAGUGACACAGGAGACACACGGCUUAAAUACACAAGGGAGGUGCAGGUGAUUGGACACAGGUGGAAACUAUUAGACGAUCACAGGGGAUGACGAGACAAGGCAGGAAGUGAAGUUACCCGGGGACACGAGUGGCAGAAAACUACAAAAUACAACAGGAAGUGAACCACACCGUGACACAGACAGGACACAAGACAACAAUAAAAUAAAAUAUAAUGCUACGGGUUAGUUUAAAAUAAAGGAAUAUGAGUUUAAAAAGUUUAAAAUAUUUUAAAAUCAAAAAUAAAGUGCACCAGCGAAGUGAAAGUGACGUGAGUGACAGGUGGGAUGUCAGAGUCAGUCAGUGACGGACCGGCUCUGAUGAGCCCGACUGCCGACGGGAAGAAACUGCUUCCCAUCGGUCUCCAGGGUCUCAGUUUGGUCCAAUCAGGAUGGUUCAUGUGUGUCUGAGCUGAUCAAUAAACAGGAGACGAAGCUGAGAUCCUGAAGGAGGACAGAAAGUAGAGGAGAGAGUUUCCGUUGUGACGUCACAAACAUGGCACCCACCCAUCCCACGUCAGCUUGUUUUUCCUAUAAAAACGGUAAUAACGAGGAAGGAUCUGUUGGUCUAAGUACAAGUCGUGUGGCCCCCCCUCUGAGCCGGAUUUACUCUGCCCCCCCACUCCUGGAGGCACAUCGUUAAUGUUUAUGAAUGAUUCUCCUGAUAGUACGGCUUCUUCUGCGGCUUCAAUGUUUCAUCUCAUGGAACACAAUCGUCUUUCAGCGUUGAUAAUCAUCUUAGAGGAAACCGUGUGGAAUUAAAUUCAGGUUGCACAACGACGGCGCACAAAGAUGCACAAAGAUGGCUGCCUCGGUUUCCAGAGGAGGUGCCAGCGUAAAUGUGCAAAACAGACAAACAGGACCAACAGGUACGGCGGGAUGCUUCAGGUUUCCUCGCCAACCCUGAAGAUUGUCGCUGCGCCGUGCGCCUGUGUCCUCCCCCAACGUGUCUUUGUACCGGGCCGCUGUCCGACUUACCAGAACCUACUUCUCCACCCUGGAGAUCUACGGGAGCUCCCACAGGGGAAGGAAGCCUUGUGGCUGGAAGCUAUUCUCCUUCCACUGUUCCGUCCUUCAGCCCCUUACUCUGGCUUCUCCCAUAAAAACUAAGUAUUCACAUUCACAGAAGGUCAAUGCACACGUUGGAGGAUUUGUUGGUCUGAGUAAAGUCGGUGUGGCCCCCGUCUGAGUAGCAUUGACACUGUCAGCUCUGCCAGGAGUCACAUCUUUAAUAUUAAUGAUUAUUAAGGAUCAUUCUGAUAGCUGAUUUCUAGCUCUGACCGGCUUCUUCUGCACAGUUUUGUUGCUUUGCAGCAGCGACCAGGAAGGAGUGAGAGUUUCAGGAAUGUUUCCUCUGUGCUCAUGAACCACAAAACUCUCUUUCAGCGUUGAUAAUCAUCUUAGAGGAAACAAUGUGGAAUUAAAUUCAGGUCGCACAACAACUGCGCACAAAGAUGCACAAAGAUGGCUGCCUCAGUGCGAUGGUGGUGUUUGUUUUUUCUAUUGUUAAUUCUGUUUUCUGUUGGGAUUCCCGGAGCGCCUUCUCCAGAAAUGAGCUGUGCUGUGUUAAGUUAGUAAAAUUAUGAUUGUAUAGUGACCAAGUUAACGUUAACAUAUUUGACGUAGCAAUAAAUUACAACUGGAACGUGAUUAACGUUAAUCAUGAACGCCAUGAAACUUUAAACUUGCUUCACUUACACUUGAGGCAGAGCGUCGUCACGACGAGACGCCAUUGUUUGCUGACCUCUGACCCCGUUGCAUUGCAAGCUGCGAAGGCUCGUGGGGAGGGGAGGGGGGAGCUGCGCUCAUGUGAUUGAUUGAAAUGAGGGCGACAUCUGAUUGGCUACAGACAGGGUCCAUGUUGAAAAAAACGCAUUUGUGGAUCUGCGACGUAAGACGAGUCUCAAAAACCCCACACACAUGUGAAGCGAUCCGCAAAUAAAUACAGAUUGAUCUGCAAAUAUAAAUCGUAAUUCAUUGAUCGGUGCAUUGAAAUGUAUUUGUAAAUCCUUCUGUGUGCAUUUGUAAAUCGAAUACAUUUGUAAAUUGUUCCGCAUUUGUGAGUCGUUCAGUGUGUAUUUGCAUUUAUUGAGAGCAGGGCUGUAGUGGAGGGUAAACGCACGUAAACGCCGUUUACCCACCUCUGGAAUUUUGGAAAUAGCGUUUACGCACCUCUAAAUAGCGUUUACGCACCUCAAAGUUCCCUGCGCCUUGUAUUCUUCCGUUGGAAUAAUCCGAAAUAAACUUGGUGUAAUUUUAAAACAGCUAAGACUACGUUUCCUAUUGUUGAACAUAUAAACGCUGUAGUCUGAAUCAUGUUCAUCUGCGCUGUAUUACGGUCUGUGAGCAUCCAAUCAGCGCCUUGCGGCUGCAGCAGCGACCAAUCAGGAUCCAGGAGGUGUGUAAACACACGGAUCAGCCCAGUGGUCCCCAACCUUUCUUACCUCACGGACCGGUUUCAUGUCAGACAAUAUUUCGCGGACCGGUCGAGAAGGUCCGACGGGGGGUAGUAGUCGCGCGCUCUGUGUUCGCUGGGCGUGCACGGUAAAAGGAAAACGCCAGUGACGCGCGCACAUAAUUAGGAGAAAAUCCAGUCAAUGUUCAAAGGCUCUGCCUCCCCUGUCAUCAUGAGCGGGGAGCAAAGCUGUUGCUUCACUGAAUAGGCCUAUAUGCUUAAUCAAUUAUUUGAAGUCAUGAAAGGUGUAGAGUCGCCUGUAAGCGUUAGAAAACAAGUCAGUUCUCAAUGUGAAAACAAAACAUGCUGUAGGCUAUUUAUGAUGACGUAGGUAGUACAUGAGUGUUCCUUUAACUCAUGUUGUCAGUGUAAUUGACAGGCUGCUUAACUGGUUAACUCUUAAAUUCAACAUAUUUUUUCCGGCAGUGAGAGGACAGGCAAUGAU